GACGAACGCUGGCGGCGUGCCUAACACAUGCAAGUCGAACGGAAAGGCCCUGCUUUUGUGGCGCGCUCGAUUGCCGCACGGGUGAGUAACACGCGAGUAACCUGUCCUUGUCUUUGGGAUAACUCCAGGAAACUCGGGCUAUUAUCGCAUAUGAGCUCCUGCUGCACGUUGGUGGUUGGUAAGUUUCGGCCGUUGGGUAUGGACUCGCGGGUUAUGAGCUUGUUUGUGGGGUAGGGGCUUACCAAGGCUUUGACGGGUAGCCGGCAUGAGAGGGGUACCGGCCACAAUACGACUGAGGGACGGAGCAGACGCCUACGGGAGGCAGCAGUGGGGAACAUUGCGCAGUAAGCCGAAGCCAGAUGCAGCAGCGCCCCGUGCGUGAUGACGGCCUACGGGUUAUAAACCGCUUUCGCCUGUAACAAGGCGUGAGUGACGGUAAUGAGUAAAAAAGCACCGGCUAACUACGUG
RNAcentral lists this ribosomal RNA (468 nucleotides) under uncultured bacterium. Its description in RNAcentral is "partial 16S ribosomal RNA". It matches the Rfam family "Bacterial small subunit ribosomal RNA", at positions 28 to 507 of the family's 1533-position model. The record is from RNAcentral.